Homo sapiens (human) is the source of this 3567-nucleotide long non-coding RNA. Ensembl annotates it as testis expressed transcript, Y-linked 10. Its record names the gene TTTY10. The record is from Ensembl. NCBI's taxonomy places the organism in Eukaryota, Metazoa, Chordata, Mammalia, Primates, Hominidae.
CACCCUGGCCAUAGCCCAUGUCAGCAGUAACCUAUGUCUUUGUUUUACAUAUCAUGUUGUUUUACUCACCUGGUGCCUCCAGUGCCCUAUAGGGUCCCUGAGCUGUCCUGAUACUCUUUCUUAGAUCCUGUCAAAACACUCACUUCAACAAAUUCUGCCCUUGGACUCUGAUGGGAGGUUCUGAUAAAGAAAAUUAUUGAAAACCGCAUUAUUUAAAUGUGGUUAUAUUUCAGCUGGACCUGGAAAUAAAGACGAAAUACUGCUUCGUGACUGUGCUUUAAGGAAUUUUUGCUUCUAGGAGAUGAUUGUGAGCCAGGCAGAGGUGAAGGAGCAGGAGCAAAUAGCCAAGGCACAGUUCACAGUGCUGGAUUUUCUUGUGGAUAUAGCUGCAUUGUUGUUCCUUCUGCCUUGUCCAACUGCUUCCUGGUAUCCCUACCCUCACCUUUUCGUUAUCUUUUCAUCUCUCUAAUCAUUGAGAAAAAGAGUACAAAAAGCCAGAUUUUGCAGUUCCCUAUUUUGUAUUCCAGGUUGAAGAGUGCUCUGGCUGUAGAGGGUCCCCACGAUCUGUCAUCUAGUAACUCACCAGAUACAUAAGAUAUUUUGCCUGCUAUGAAGCCAUUGGAGAAUCAGGUCCAGCUGUGUCCUACAGAUUUAUACCCUCACUUUGGAUGCACUGUGAAUCUUGAAACAAGUAUGUAAAUAGAAUCCAGCCCCUCUCUGCCACAGCCUCAGAGCAGGAUUGGUAACUCCAAAAGACACCAGGACACAUCCUAAUUUUCUUAAAUUUUAUUUAUUUGUUUAUUUAUUUAUUAUUAUUAUACUUUAAGUUUUAGGGUACAUGUGCACAAUGUGCAGGUUAGUUACAUAUGUAUACAUGUGCCAUGCUGGUGUGCUGCACCCACUGACUCGUCAUCUAGCAUUAGGUAUAUCUCACAAUGCUAUCCCUCCCCUCUUCCCCCCACCCCACAACAGUCCCCAGAGUGUGAUGUUCCCUUUCCUGUGUCCAUGUGUUCUCAUUGUUCAAUUCCCACCUAUGAGUGAGAAUAUGCGCUGUUUGGUUUUUUGUUCUUGCGAUAGUUUACUGAGAAUGAUGAUUUCCAAUUUCAUCCAUGUCCCUACAAAGGACAUGAACUCAUCAUUUUUUAUGGCUGCAUAGUAUUCCAUGGUGUAUAUGUGCCACAUUUUCUUAAUUCAGUCUAUCAUUGUUGGACAUUUGGGUUGGUUCCAAGUCUUUGCUAUUGUGAAUAAUGCCGCAAUAAACAUACGUGUGCAUGUGUCUUUAUAGCAGCAUGAUUUAUAUCCUUUGGGUAUAUACCCAGUAAUAGGAUGGCUGGGUCAAAUAGUAUUUCUACUUCUAGAUCCCUGAGAAAUCGCCACACUGACUUCCACAAUGGUUGAACCAGUUUACAGUCCCACUAACAGUGUAAAAGUGUUCCUAUUUCUCCACAUCCUCUCCAGCACCUGUUGUUUCCUGACUUUUUGAUGAUUGCCAUUCUAACUGGUGUGAAAUGGUAUCUCAUUGUGGCUUUGAUUUGCAUUUCUCUGAUGGCCAGUGAUGGUGAGCAUUUUUUCAUGUGUUUUUUGACUGCAUAAAUGUCUUCUUUUGAGAAGUGUCUGUUCAUGUCCUUUGACCACUUUUUGAUGGGGUUGUUUGUUUUUUUCUUGUAAAUUUGUUUGAGUUCAUUGUAGAUUCUAGAUAUUAGCCCUUUGUGAGAUGAGUAGGUUGCGAAAAUUUUCUCCCAUUUUGUAGGUUGCCUUUUCACUCUGAUUGUAGUUUCUUUUGCUGUGCAGAAGCUCUUUAGUUUACUUAGAUCCCAUUUUUCAAUUUUGGCUUUUGUUGCCAUUGCUUUUUGUGUUUUAGGCAUGAAGUCCUUGCCCAUGCCUAUGUCCUGAAUGGUAAUGCCUAGGUUUUCUUCUAGGGUUUUUAUGAUUUUAGGUCUAACAUUUAAGUCUUUAAUCCAUCUUGAACUGAUUUUUGUAAAAGGUGUAAGGAAGGGAUCCAGUUUCAGCUUUCUACAUAUGGCUAGCCAGUUUUCCCAGCACCAAUUAUUAAAUAGGGAAUCCUUUCCCCAUUGCUUGUUUUUCUCAGGUUUGUCAAAGAUCAGAUAGUCGUAGAUAUGUGGCAUUAUUUCUGAGGGCUCUAUUCUGUUCCAUUGAUCUACAUCUCUGUUUUGGUACCAGUACCAUGCUGUUUUGGUUACUGUAGCCUUGUAGUAUAGUUUGAAGUCAGGUAGUGUGAUGCCUCCAGCUUUGUUCUUUUGGCUCAGGAUUGACUUGGCAAUGCGGGCUCUUUUUUGGUUCCAUAUGAACUUUAAAGUAGUUUUUUUCCAGUUCUGUGAAGAAAGUCAUUAGUAGCUUGAUGGGGAUGGCAUUGAAUCUGUAAAUUACUUUGGGCAGUAUGGCCAUUUUGACGAUAUUGAUUCUUCUUACCCAUGAGCAUGGAAUGUUCUUCCAUUUGUUUGUAUCCUUUUUUAUUUCCUUGAGCAGUGGUUUGUAGUUCUCCUUGAGGUCCUUCACAUCCCUUGUAAGUUGGAUUCCUAGGUAUUUUAUUCUCUUUGAAGCAAUUGUGAAUGGGAGUUCACUCAUGAUUUGGCUGUUUGUCUGUUGUUGGUGUAUAAGAAUGCUUGUAAUUUUUGUACAUUGAUUUUGUAUCCUGAGACUUUGCUGAAGUUGCUUAUCAGCUUAAGGAGAUUUUGGGCUGAGACAAUGGGGUUUUCUACAUAUACAAUCAUGUCGUCUGCAAACAGGGACAAUUUGACUUCCUCUUUUCCUAAUUGAAUACCCUUUAUUUCCUUCUCCUGCCUAAUUGCCCUGGCCAGAACUUCCAACACUAUGUUGAAUAGGAGUGGUGAGAGAGGGCAUCCCUGUCUUGUGCCAGUUUUCAAAGGGAAUGUUUCCAGUUUUUGCCCAUUCAGUAUGAUAUUGGCUGUGGGUUUGUCAUAGAUAGCUCUUAUUAUUUUGAGAUACAUCCCAUCAAUACCUAAUUUAUUGAGAGUUUUUAGCAUGAAGAGUUGUUGAAUUUUGUCAAAGGCCUUCACCACACCUAUUCCAAAAUUGACCACAUAGUUGGAAGUAAAGCUCUCCUCAGCAAAUGUAAAAGAACACAAAUUAUAACAAACUAUCUCUCAGACCACAGUGCAAUCAAACUAGAACUCAGGAUUAAGAAUCUCACUCAAAACCACUCAACUACAUGGAAACUGAACAACCUGCUCCUGAAUGACUACUGGGUACAUAAUGAAAUGAAGGCAGAAAUAAAAAUGUUCUUUGAACCGAUGAGAACAAAGACACAACAUACCAGAAUCUCUGGGACACAUUCAAAUCAGUGUGUAGAGGGAAAUUUAUAGCACUAAAUGCCCACAAGAGAAAGCAGGAAAGAUCCAAAAUUGACACCCUAACAUCACAAUUAAAAGAACUAGAAAAGCAAGAGCAAACACAUUCAAAAGCUAGCAGAAGGCAAGAAAUAACUAAAAUCAGAGCAGAACUGAAGGAAAUAGAGACACAAAAAACCCCUCAAAAAAUUAACGAAUCCAGGAGCUGGUUUGUUGCAAGGAUCAACAAAAUUGAUAG